CCUACGGGAGGCUGCAGUGAGGAAUAUUGGUCAAUGGGCGCAAGCCUGAACCAGCCAUCCCGCGUGCAGGAAGACGGCCCUAUGGGUUGUAAACUGCUUUUCCAGGGGACGAAUAGUUUCUACGUGUAGAGACCUGACGGUACCUUGGGAAUAAGCAUCGGCUAACUCCGUGCCAGCAGCCGCGGUAAUACGGAGGAUGCAAGCGUUAUCCGGAUUCAUUGGGUUUAAAGGGUGCGUAGGCGGAUUAAUAAGUCAGCGGUGAAAUCCUACAGCUUAACUGUAGAACUGCCAUUGAUACUGUUAGUCUUGAGUUUGGUUAAGGUAGGCGGAAUGUGUAAUGUAGCGGUGAAAUGCUUAGAUAUUACACAGAACACCAAUUGCGAAGGCAGCUUACUGGACCGACACUGACGCUGAGGCACGAAAGCGUGGGGAUCGAACAGGAUUAGAUACCCGAGUAGUC
Molecule: ribosomal RNA, 460 nt
Filed under: uncultured Bacteroidota bacterium
Lineage: Bacteria; Pseudomonadati; Bacteroidota
Description: bacterial SSU rRNA
Rfam family: Bacterial small subunit ribosomal RNA
Source: RNAcentral